CUCUCUGCCAUGGAUAUCCUACCAAAUUUGCUUCUUACUUCCAUUACUGUCGCUCACUACGUUUCGAAGAUGCACCAGACUAUCAGUACCUGAAGAGAUUGUUCAGAGACCUUUUUAUUCGGGAAGGACAUAUUGCUAAGAAUCUGCCACAUUAUGUUUGCUUGAGGUAUUAAUUUAUCCAGGUGUUUAAUGCUGGAGUACAAUUAGAAGAUCCCUAAUCAAUUGCUUCUCAUUUCAGUCGUGUAACUUUAUUCAUGCUACAACAACGACUUUGAGCGAACAUGAGACCACUGAGCUCUGGAGUGAAUGAAGGACGUCGUCUUUGGAAGUCAGACAUCACCUAGAGCUAGGGUGUCCAUUCUUGACAUGUUUCUCUUAGUGAUAGAUGGAUACUGUCUAGUUAGGAACAGAGUCUUGAGGGAUUGAUGGACGCAUGCAUCUUCAAUUCAUGUGUGUUGUAUUACUACUGGUACAAUCUCCAAUUCUUGUGAACUUUUGUAUUUGGACUUGUGUGAAUUUGUGAUAUGAACAUAUAUCCAUGUGUUUGAAAUCUUUAUUGUAUGUGAUA
Long non-coding RNA from Zea mays, 568 nucleotides. RefSeq lists it as uncharacterized. NCBI's taxonomy places the organism in Eukaryota, Viridiplantae, Streptophyta, Magnoliopsida, Poales, Poaceae. The transcript is spliced from 3 exons. The record is from RefSeq and is a predicted model, not a curated record.